AUACAGUUGACGAGUUUCAAAUAGGACGAAACGCGUGUUCUGAAU
Molecule: non-coding RNA, 45 nt
Organism: Schistosoma mattheei
Lineage: Eukaryota; Metazoa; Platyhelminthes; Trematoda; Strigeidida; Schistosomatidae
Source: Rfam